Molecule: long non-coding RNA, 4820 nt
Filed under: Homo sapiens (human)
Lineage: Eukaryota; Metazoa; Chordata; Mammalia; Primates; Hominidae
Description: HSALNT0091273
Source: RNAcentral
CAGAUCAAGAGCAUCUCAUCCUCCGGCUGCUGAGUCAUCCUGCUCUGGCAGUUAUUUAAACAGAAGGCUCCAGGAGACAUACAAUCAACACUCCACUCAGACAAUGCCCAGACCUCCAGAAACCAUGUGUCAAGCUCGGAUUGCCUUAGACAGGUGCAAUUUAAGAACAGCUUUCAUCCUCUUUUCUCUCAUAUUGUCACACUAUGUGUUCUGACUUCUGGCUCCUUUCCUCACAAGAAGCUCACCCAGCUGGAACUCUUAUGGGACCUUGGCACCAGAGACCACAAAUUCCUCUUUGAAGUUUUCUAACAGCAACAAUGGUAUUUCUGACUUGGCUUUCUUGUAUUUCUCUCACGUUAACAAAAUUGGUUCAGCAUCUACCAUGGGCUACAUGCUGAGCUACAGAGUUUCGCUCUGUCGCCCAGGCUGGAGUGCAGUGGCGCGCGAUCUCGGUUCACUGCAAGCUCCACCUCCCGGGUUCACGCCAUUCUCCUGCCUCAGCCUCCUGAGUAGCUGGGACUACAGGCGCCCGCCACCACACCCAGGAAUCCAACUUGCUGUUUGCUAUCACAUGUGCUAUACAUGCUGUUGAUGAAACUGCUAAAGGGGCUGAAUGUGACUGACGUCUUUGGAAGGAUGAGACUUAGCGUGCCUGUACAGUUGUGUCCAAAUGCUGUCCUCAUCUCCCAAUGAAAAGCAUUGCCAGCAGCAUUCAGUACAUUCAGAACAGGAUAAUUUCACCCGCAGCUGAACUAGGGCCAUGCCUGGGACAGACAGAGAAUGGCCUUCCAGCAGACAUGCCAAGAAGCAAGCCAGGGUCAGUGAGUGAAGAGGAGGGCAGGCCCAUUUGAAGCAACACAGUUUAUGUAAGUGUGAUCUAACUGCUUUCACUGGAAAUGGGUCAGACUCCAGUUGAGAGAACCAGGGGCCUGAAUGACCCCAGCAAAAUCACUGUGGCAAUUCUUUCAAUCACCUCUGAGAAUAUGGCCCUGUGACGACAUAAUGACGUUUGGAUUAAUUCCAGUCGGCUGUGUUUUCCCCUCCUUUCUUGCCUCCCCGUAGUUGAUUUGCCAAAUUUUUUUUGUUUGCUUAAAUACGCGGAACUAAACAGGAUACAUUAUAUGACAGUCUGUGAUAAAUUUACCACUGGGAAUAGGGAAAAAGUAUGGGAUAAAGAAAUAGGUAUUUUUCGCCUCUCACAGCUGUGAUUCAGUUCUGACUCAAAAGGAAGUGUGCCACCUACUGAAUCACAGAAACCACUUCCUGUGGCUGUUUGGUUUAUUCUGGAGGAGCAUCAGGCCAAGUGCUGCCCUGCCCUGACCCUGACUGGCUCUUCAGAGCCAAGGCAUUCACAGCUUGAGGUGGUUUGGCCUCAGACUCUUGAGAACAUUGCAUAUUAAAUUACAAGUGUUUCGUUUCCUAGCAAGGAGUCUUUAGCAACAUGAAAACGAACGUGUGUUAUUUGCAAACCAAGUAUAUCAUUACUGAACCUGAAUAUCCUUACUUUUUCAUAAGGUACGUAUUCCGGAUGACCACUCUUAAGAUCUGAAUGUACACUGGUUCUGUUUUUCCUGAGGGGAACUUGGGCAGUCUGCAGGGUGGCAUUUACCAGCUGAGGGACUUCAAGAGCACCCUUUAAUCAGUGUGGCAGCACUCAACUUGUAUUCACUCACUCAGAGUAUUUUUGAGCAUGUACUUAUUGCCAUGUGCUGUGCUAGGUAGGGGUAGAGGGUACAGUGGUGAACAAGACCCCACAGCUCCUGACCUCAUGGCUCAUGUGUUCUACACCAUAAGGGAAUCAAGCUGUGUCUCCCGGGGCAGGGGCCUUCCUCUGUUCACCAUGCAGCCCCAGCAUCUAGCACCUGGCGUUGCAUAAAGGAGGCUCUAAAUCAAGCUUGUCCAACCCAAGGCCCACGGGCCACAUGUGGCCCAGGAUGGCUUUGAAUGCAGCCAAACACAAAUUUGUAAACUUUCUUAAAACAUUAUAAGAUUUGUGUGUAUGUGUUUUAGUCCAUCAGCUAUUGUUAGUGUUCAUGUAUUUUAUGUGUGGCCCAAGACAAUUCUUCUAUGUGGCCCAAGGAAACCAAAGAUUGAACACUCCUGCUCUAAAUACUUGUUUGUUGAAUAGAUACAUGAAAAGAAAGAAGGAGAGAAGGAAGAAAGGAGGGCGGAAGGAAAGGAAGAAGGGAGAGAAGAAGAGAAGAAAGAAGCAGAGAAAGGAAGAGAAAAGAAAUUACGGCCAGUGCGGUGGCUCACGCCUGUAAUCCUAGCACUUUGGGAGGCCUAAGCGGGCUGAUCACCUGAGGUCAGGAGUUCGUAAGCCAGCCUGGCCAACAUGGUGAAACCCUAUCUCUACUAAAAAUACAAAAAUCAGCAGGGCAUGGUGGUGCGUGCCUGUAAUCCCAGCUACCUGGGAGGCUGAGGUAGGAGAAUCGCUGGAACCCGAGAGGCGGAGGCUGCAGUGAGUUGAGAUCAUGUCACUGCACUCCAGGCUGGGCAACAGAGUGAGACUCUGUCUCAGAAAAAAAAAAAAAGAAAGAAAGAAAGAAAGAAAGUUACCAUUAGUUUUUUGUUGUAUUUGCAAGCAAAGACAAAAGCACCAAGGAACAAAACCCAUCAGAAGAUGUCAGAAGAUAAGGAUUUUUGUCCUGAUGCUACACUUACCAGCUGUCCCUCAGUGUUCUACUUCUUAAAAAAAGAGAGAUGGAUAAACAGAGGCAACCCGAGGAUAAAGGCCUUGCUCAGUGUCACACAUUUCAGUCACUAAAUAAGACACAAUGGAUGCCAGUAUUCUCAUCCCCUCACAAAUAAAGAGCCUUCAAGCUCUUGCAGUCAACAAGAACUUUUGGAAUGAUUUCACUGCCUGAAAAGGCAGAUACAUAGGUGACACCCACAAAUAGGAAGAAAAUCAACCUGAACCUGAGUGUGUGGGCUCACUGACUCUAAGCAGUAGAGACAGAAGAAAAAGUUUUAGCAAAGAAGGGUUCUGAAAGAAAAUAAAUAUAGCUCGUUAUCAAGUGCUGUUUUUACACAGUAAAACAUGGGCAAAAUUACUCUUCUUUAAGUAGUAAUUCUUAUCUCUUGAUUAAGUCACCUACUCAUUCAUUUAAUAAAUACAUACUGAUUGUUUUCUAUGUGUUGAGCACUCAUCUCUGUAUUGGAAAUAUAAUAAUGACCAAAGUUGACAAUAGUAAUAACAAUAAUAGCUAAUAUAGCAGGCACUAAUAAUUAUUUGUUGAGUAAUAUGUCAAAAUUCAGUGUGAACAGCAUUCUAUUUGGGGCUGCAUCCACUGACUAUAACACAGCUAAUCUAUCUGAAAUGUUCCAGCUUUGGGCCUCUCUAACAGAAGAAGCUGUUGUUGGGCCUGCCUCUAGUUGGCGAUGCAUCCACCAAUGAGAAUGAAUUUAUGAUCGACCACUCUUCCUGUAAAGGCCGCUGGAACUGACAGCAUUGUGAUUUUCUUUUACUGUUAGUUUUAAAUUACUAGAACCAACUCAAUUACUAGAACGAACUUUACUUCUUUGUUUCCUACUUAUCAAAACAGUAAAAACAACAAGUAAAAGAAAUGCCAUCUUAAUAUUGUUUUGAUGACAAAACAGUAUUCCUUUUAGUUGUGCUUCAAAUGGAAUAAGAUGCAAACAGGCUUGGUAUGGUGGCUCACCCCUGUAAUCCCAGCCCUUUGGGAGGCCAAGGUGGAAGGAUUGCUUGAGGCCAUGAGUUUGAGACCAGCCUGCGCAACAUAGCAAGACCGUGUCUCUACAAAAAAUAAAAAAUUAGCUGAGUGUAGUGGUGUGUGCUUGUGGUCCCAGCUACUUUUGAGGCUGAGGAGGGAGAAUCUCUUGAGCCCAGAAGGUCGAAGUUGCAGUGAGCCGUGAUCGUGCCAUUGCUCUCCAGCUUGGACAACAAAGCAAGACCCUAUGUCAAAAAAUAAAUAAAUAAAAGACAUAAACAUAUCUGAGAUUAACUUUCAGUGGUAAAUUUGUUCCAUAUAUGAUUUUUAAGGUUAAAUGCUUUGGAAGCUUUAAAAACCAUUUCAGCCCUUUUAAAUGCCAACUUACACUGAUGAUGCUCUCAGAUGUUAGGAAAUCUUUUGAGCAGAAAAUGGAAGUGGGGGUGUUGAGGCAGGGAGGAGAGUGAUGCAAUAUUCCUUAGUGUCAUCCUGUGAUUUCACAAUUUGUUUUUCAAUCUGUUUGGACUUUCAAAAGGGAAGACUCUCAUAUGUCAACAAGCCCAUGAACUGAAGCUUAAAACACUGGAAACAACAACUGUAGAGUUUCAAGUAUAUGUACAUUUAUGUAUUCAUGUUCCUUGAUGGGAAUGCUGGCUGGUGUGAAUGUUCAAUCUCCUGAGAAAUGUAAAUUUUUCUCUGACAGAUUUAUUAGCUUGCUGUAUCUGAGCACAUGAGCAAAAACAAUGCCUAAUAAGAAAACUUUCUCUCUCCUUCAAAGUCAAACUUGGGAGAAAUGAAGGGAAAUCGAGUUUUCUUUGCUUGACAGUGUUCAACAUUCUUGUAGUCAGUGUGCUCAUGAAGAUUGCAAACUUUUUUUUUUUUUUAGAGCAGCUAGGACUACAGGCGCGCACCACCACACCCAGCUAAUUUGUGUAUUUUUAGUAGAGAUGGGGUUUUAACUAUGUUGGCCAAGCUUGUCUCAAACUCCUGACCUCAAGUGAUCCAUUCGACAGCUCUUUCUUUUUUUUUUUUUUUUUUGAGACAAAGUCUCGCUCUGUCACCCAGGCUGGAGUGCAGUGGUAUGAUCUCAGCUCACUGCAACCUCCGCCUCCUGGGUUCAAGCAAUUCUCAUGCCUUAGCCUCCCGAAU